This is a non-coding RNA of Pelobates cultripes (western spadefoot toad), 113 nucleotides long. NCBI's taxonomy places the organism in Eukaryota, Metazoa, Chordata, Amphibia, Anura, Pelobatidae. The record is from the annotation of a GenBank genome assembly.
AAUGAAAUAUUGCCACAUUUUUAUUGAACACACCAUGUAAACAUCCACUUUUUCCACCUGCACUGUGAAUGUUUACAUGGUGUGUUCAAUAAAAACAUGGGAACAUUUCAUUC